ACAUAACGACUUCAAGAUUCCGUUACAAAAAGCAUGGCCAGUUGGAACCUUUUGGCUCCACUUUCCUCUGCGUCAAAAGCUGGGACCCAUGUCAAGCAUAAAGGUAACCGGUUCUACUUCAGUUCGUGAGGGUCUUCAUUCCGAUCACGAAGUUCCCCGAGCCCGGAAGCACUUCACACCCUGGUCUAGUAUGAGCUGCUAUGAGGAGCCUUAGAGCUUUUCCGAUCCUGAAAUUUGAGGUUUUGACGGGUUUAGAUAUGAAGGACCUUCCCAGAUCCGUCGUGGCUGAGUUUUUCGGCAACAUAGCUAGUGUUUUUCUGGUGAAGUUGAGUUGUAGCGAGAACGACAACAAUGGUGGUUGGCCGUAGGCGAACGAGGCGGUGUUUGUGGAGUUCACUCCCAGCUAACCGUAUCGCCACGAGGACGUCAUCGCUAGCACCAUCACCAGCCGUUCCGACAGGAGGUCCCACUCGAAGCCAAAUAAGUAUGAUCUCUUUAGCAUAAAAUCCAACGCGUUGAAUUUGCCUUCGGACUGGUUUCUUCUCGAAGAUGGCU
RNAcentral lists this long non-coding RNA (555 nucleotides) under Vitis vinifera (wine grape). Its description in RNAcentral is "long non-coding RNA (VVIN_LNC007006)". Lineage: Eukaryota; Viridiplantae; Streptophyta; Magnoliopsida; Vitales; Vitaceae. The record is from RNAcentral.